GGUGGCUAAUACCGGAUAUGACCAUGCUCGGCAUCGGGUGUGGUGGAAAGUUUUUUCGGCCAGGGAUGUGCUCGCGGCCUAUCAGCUUGUUGGUGGGGUAAAUGGCCUACCAAGGCUUCGACGGUAGCCGGCCUGAGAGGUGACCGGCCACACUGGGACUGAGACACGGCCCAGACUCCUACGGGAGGCAGCAGUGGGGAAUAUUGGACCAAUGGGCGGAAGCCUGAUCCAGCAACGCCGCGUGAGGGAUGACGGCCUUCGGGUUGUAAACCUCUUUCAGUACCGACGAAGCGCCGAUGAUGGUGGUGACGGUAGGUACAGAAGAAGCACCGGCCAACUACGUG
Molecule: ribosomal RNA, 344 nt
Filed under: uncultured bacterium
Lineage: Bacteria
Description: bacterial SSU rRNA
Rfam family: Bacterial small subunit ribosomal RNA
Source: RNAcentral